CCUACGGGUGGCAGCAGUGGGGAAUAUUGGGCAAUGGGGGGAACCCUGAUCCAGCAACGCCGCGUGAGUGAAGAAGUAUUUCGGUUUGUAAAGCUCUAUCAUCAGGGACGAAACAAAUGACGGUACCUGAUUAAGAAGCCCCGGCUAACUACGUGCCAGCAGCCGCGGUAAUACGUAGGGGGCAAGCGUUAUCCGGAUUUACUGGGUGUAAAGGGAGCGUAGGCGGCGAUGCAAGUCUGAAGUGAAAGGCGAGGGCCCAACCCCCGGACUGCGUUGGAAACUGUAUGGCUGGAGUGCAGGAGAGGCAAGUGGAAUUCCUAGUGUAGCGGUGAAAUGCGUAGAUAUUAGGAGGAACACCAGUGGCGAAGGCGGCUUACUGGACUGUAACUGACGUUGAGGCUCGAAAGCGUGGGGAGCAAACAGGAUUAGAUACCCCAGUAGUC
Molecule: ribosomal RNA, 443 nt
Filed under: uncultured bacterium
Lineage: Bacteria
Description: partial 16S ribosomal RNA
Rfam family: Bacterial small subunit ribosomal RNA
Source: RNAcentral